This 465-nucleotide ribosomal RNA is filed under the name Vreelandella stevensii. RNAcentral describes it as "partial 16S ribosomal RNA". It matches the Rfam family "Bacterial small subunit ribosomal RNA", at positions 338 to 795 of the family's 1533-position model. Lineage: Bacteria; Pseudomonadati; Pseudomonadota; Gammaproteobacteria; Oceanospirillales; Halomonadaceae. The record is from RNAcentral.
CCUACGGGCGGCAGCAGUGGGGAAUAUUGGACAAUGGGGGGAACCCUGAUCCAGCCAUGCCGCGUGUGUGAAGAAGGCCCUCGGGUUGUAAAGCACUUUCAGUGAGGAAGAACGCCUGGUGGUUAAUACCCAUCAGGAAAGACAUCACUCACAGAAGAAGCACCGGCUAACUCCGUGCCAGCAGCCGCGGUAAUACGGAGGGUGCGAGCGUUAAUCGGAAUUACUGGGCGUAAAGCGCGCGUAGGUGGCUUGAUAAGCCGGUUGUGAAAGCCCCGGGCUCAACCUGGGAACAGCAUCCGGAACUGUCAAGCUAGAGUGCAGGAGAGGAAGGUAGAAUUCCCGGUGUAGCGGUGAAAUGCGUAGAGAUCGGGAGGAAUACCAGUGGCGAAGGCGGCCUUCUGGACUGACACUGACACUGAGGUGCGAAAGCGUGGGUAGCAAACAGGAUUAGAUACCCCAGUAGUC